RNAcentral lists this long non-coding RNA (960 nucleotides) under Equus caballus (horse). Its description in RNAcentral is "lncRNA (ENSECAG00000055543.1)". The record is from RNAcentral. Lineage: Eukaryota; Metazoa; Chordata; Mammalia; Perissodactyla; Equidae.
UGAUGAACUCUGAAGAAAUAAAAAGAAAGCCAUUUAUAUGCAAAUCUUAAAGUUUCAGAGGACUGGACUUGCAGCACCAAAUAUGGCUGUUAUAGGAGGGAUUUUGUGAUGUCACUGUCCUGUUGAAUAAUGUUAGAGCAGCAAGAAUACAUAUACAUAAUUUAAUCUGGAUGUUGUGUCAAAGAAAAAUUGCAUUGGACAGAGUUACACAGGCAAGGAAGACUUUAUUCAAGACUACGGCAAUACUGGAGAGAGACUAAACUCAAGUCCAUUGAAACAAAAGGCGAGAGGGCUUUCAGUGCUGGGGUGAGCUGGCAGAAUGGCACUGGAGGACGUUAUACGGAGGUUGGUGGGUGUGAUUAUACCAUCUGUGUUUGCAAUUGGCAUUUAUUGAAGUUAAACUCCUACCCUCCCGCAGAGACUGGGAGAUAGGGGCCCAAUUGCCUUCAAUAAUUACAUUUCGAAGGGAUGACUCCCAGCUUCUUGAGAAAGACAUUCCUGGGUUGCAAAACUGGCAAGAGCCCGGGAUAAUAUUUAUACACAUUUCAAAGCGGCACAGGAAGAAUAUACAAUUACAAGUUUUCUAAAGUCAAUGAUUUUAGAAGAAGGUCAAGGCGUAGAGUCAGGAGUAAGUCUGUCUAAAGCUGAGUCAAGCUAAUUGAGCAAGGCCAUCCUGAUCAACUGUUGGAUAUGCUAUAGGAGUUCUGGACCCCUUACGGGGACACAGGGGGCAAGGGUACAGGGGGCCAGGGAGCACGAUGAACAGUACUUUAGCUGGCAAAGCCCCCACCUCACUCUUCCACCAGAGCAGAAGAUUUCCAGUUCAUCUCUUUUGCAUAUAGGACUUCCAUGUAAGCUUUCUUUUAAGAAAAGUCUCCUUGCUAAAGAAAGUUUGUAACUAUAAAUUAUGGACAUUUUUUUAUUUGUCUAGUGGAUAGACUAAAGCUGAGAAGGAAUAAA